UUGUUGGGUAAGUAAAUUACUUUGGUGAUCUUUCUGAUUAAUUUGAUGAAUCUUGAGGCAGGGUAAAUCAGUUAACUCACAUGAAUCUCAAGACGGUUGUCCCUGCUAGCUUUAAUUUCCUUUUUUACCUUUUAGUAGCAUAUUUGUUUUGUUUCAUUAGUGCUUAUUUUUCGAAUCUUUGGUUGUUUGAUCUGAUGUAUUCCUCGUUGAUACGAUAGUUAGGCAUAAAGACAUAUGGAUGAUAGUUGUUUGUUUGGCCGUAAGGGUAGGGGCUCGAAGGAACAGAAUUGAAAUUGGAGA
This 300-nucleotide long non-coding RNA is filed under the name Nicotiana benthamiana. RNAcentral describes it as "long non-coding RNA (NBEN_LNC030276)". The record is from RNAcentral. Lineage: Eukaryota; Viridiplantae; Streptophyta; Magnoliopsida; Solanales; Solanaceae.